AUAGAGAGAGAGAGAGAGAGAGAGAGAGAGAGAGAGAAGCUGCCCAUUCGAGUUUUCCCCUUAGUGAACUGGCGUUCCAAGAAUUUUGGGUGCUCGCCGGAUUCUGGAAAAUGCUCGCCGGUGGCGACCAGUCUUGCCGGAAAAGAAGAGUGACUGGCCAGCAAUCUUGGAAAACUUCAGUGACCUUACCGCAACUCUGGGAAAUUUUGGUGACCAUACAUCAAAGUUGAGUGAACUGAAUGCAAUUCAGGUUAAAUUCAGUGACUUUUUGUAACUUGGGAAAAGUUGAGUGACUGAUCUGUAAUCGGUGAAUUGUUC
RNAcentral lists this long non-coding RNA (318 nucleotides) under Linum usitatissimum (flax). RNAcentral describes it as "long non-coding RNA (LUSI_LNC008238)". Lineage: Eukaryota; Viridiplantae; Streptophyta; Magnoliopsida; Malpighiales; Linaceae. The record is from RNAcentral.